Molecule: ribosomal RNA, 873 nt
Filed under: Clitopilus abprunulus
Lineage: Eukaryota; Fungi; Basidiomycota; Agaricomycetes; Agaricales; Entolomataceae
Description: partial large subunit ribosomal RNA
Rfam family: Eukaryotic large subunit ribosomal RNA
Source: RNAcentral
UAACAAGGAUUCCCCUAGUAACUGCGAGUGAAGCGGGAAAAGCUCAAAUUUAAAAUCUGGUAGUCUCUGGCUGCCCGAGUUGUAAUCUAGAGAAGUGUUAUCCGCGCUGGACCGUGUAUAAGUCUCCUGGAAUGGAGCGUCAUAGAGGGUGAGAAUCCCGUCUUUGACACGGACUACCAGGGCUUUGUGAUGCGCUCUCAAAGAGUCGAGUUGUUUGGGAAUGCAGCUCUAAAUGGGUGGUAAAUUCCAUCUAAAGCUAAAUAUUGGCGAGAGACCGAUAGCGAACAAGUACCGUGAGGGAAAGAUGAAAAGAACUUUGGAAAGAGAGUUAAACAGUACGUGAAAUUGUUGAAAGGGAAACGCUUGAAGUCAGUCGCGUUGGCUUGGAAUCAGCCUUGCUUUUGCUUGGUGUACUUCCUUGUUGACGGGUCAGCAUCAAUUUUGACCGGUGGAAAAAGGCUAGUGGAAUGUGGCAUCUUCGGAUGUGUUAUAGCUGCUAGUUGUAUACAUCGGUUGGGAUUGAGGAACUCAGCACGCCGAAAGGUCGGGGUUCGCCCACGUUCGUGCUUAGGAUGCUGGCAUAAUGGCUUUAAUCGACCCGUCUUGAAACACGGACCAAGGAGUCUAACAUGCCUGCGAGUGUUUGGGUGGAAAACCCGAGCGCGUAAUGAAAGUGAAAGUUGAGAUCCCUGUCGUGGGGAGCAUCGACGCCCGGACCAGACCUUCUGUGACGGAUCCGCGGUAGAGCAUGUAUGUUGGGACCCGAAAGAUGGUGAACUAUGCCUGAAUAGGGUGAAGCCAGAGGAAACUCUGGUGGAGGCUCGUAGCGAUUCUGACGUGCAAAUCGAUCGUCAAAUUUGGGUAUAGGGGCGA